Hordeum vulgare subsp. vulgare (domesticated barley) is the source of this 124-nucleotide non-coding RNA. NCBI's taxonomy places the organism in Eukaryota, Viridiplantae, Streptophyta, Magnoliopsida, Poales, Poaceae. The record is from Rfam.
GAGCUACUCCCUCCGUUCGAAAAUACUUGUCCUGGAAUGGAUAUAUCUGGAUGUAUUUUAGUUCUAGAUACAUUCAUUUUUAUAUAUUUAUGCAACGAGUAAUUUUGGACGGAGGAAGUAUAUA